CUACGGAGGGGGCUAGCGUUGUUCGGAAUUACUGGGCGUAAAGCGCGCGUAGGCGGAUUGAUCAGUCAGGGGUGAAAUCCCGGAGCUUAACUCCGGAACUGCCUUCGAUACUGUCAAUCUUGAGUUCGAGAGAGGUGAGUGGAAUUCCUAGUGUAGAGGUGAAAUUCGUAGAUAUUAGGAAGAACACCAGUGGCGAAGGCGGCUCACUGGCUCGAUACUGACGCUGAGGUGCGAAAGCGUGGGGAGCAAACAGGAUUAGAAACCCUAGUAGUCC
This 274-nucleotide ribosomal RNA is filed under the name uncultured bacterium. Its description in RNAcentral is "partial 16S ribosomal RNA". It matches the Rfam family "Bacterial small subunit ribosomal RNA", at positions 523 to 796 of the family's 1533-position model. The record is from RNAcentral.